Molecule: ribosomal RNA, 445 nt
Filed under: uncultured Bacteroidaceae bacterium
Lineage: Bacteria; Pseudomonadati; Bacteroidota; Bacteroidia; Bacteroidales; Bacteroidaceae
Description: bacterial SSU rRNA
Rfam family: Bacterial small subunit ribosomal RNA
Source: RNAcentral
GUGAGGAAUAUUGGUCAAUGGACGAGAGUCUGAACCAGCCAAGUAGCGUGAAGGAUGACUGCCCUAUGGGUUGUAAACUUCUUUUAUAUGGGAAUAAAGUGAGCCACGUGUGGCUUUUUGUAUGUACCAUACGAAUAAGGAUCGGCUAACUCCGUGCCAGCAGCCGCGGUAAUACGGAGGAUCCGAGCGUUAUCCGGAUUUAUUGGGUUUAAAGGGAGCGUAGGCGGACUAUUAAGUCAGCUGUGAAAGUUUGCGGCUUAACCGUAAAAUUGCAGUUGAUACUGGUCGUCUUGAGUGCAGUAGAGGUAGGCGGAAUUCGUGGUGUAGCGGUGAAAUGCUUAGAUAUCACGAAGAACUCCGAUUGCGAAGGCAGCUUACUGGACUGUAACUGACGCUGAUGCUCGAAAGUGUGGGUAUCAAACAGGAUUAGAAACCCGGGUAGUCC